Molecule: long non-coding RNA, 945 nt
Filed under: Homo sapiens (human)
Lineage: Eukaryota; Metazoa; Chordata; Mammalia; Primates; Hominidae
Description: non-protein coding lnc-SMCO1-1:1
Source: RNAcentral
GAUGCUGGGAGCCGGAUGGGGCCCGGAGGCGCGACACCGCAGUUCUCCGUACUUGAAGACACCCAUCCAGGCCACCUUUUCAGUCGGCUGCAGGGACACGUCCUACAAGGGCGUGCUGGAGGCUGAGCUAGCAAAGCUGGGGCGAGGGCGGGACGGUGGAUCAUUCGCAGACACAUCAUCACACCAGGGUGUCCGGCACCUUACCCAAGGCCAGGAAUAGCAACUCAGAUGUUAAAUCGUGUCAAACAUCUCCAAGAUGGCACUUUUGACAACAUCUGUUUGUCCAGAUCAGCAAUGAGUCAGCAAUUGACUUCUACAGAAGUUUGGCUUUGAGAUGACUGAGACAAAGACAGAUAAAGGAUAAGAGGAUGGAGCCUGCAGAUGCUCAGGAGUUGCAGAAAAACCUCAAAGUCCCUUCCGAUCAGAAUGGAGAUAUGCAAAACACAACUGAACAAGUCACAAAAUGAACCUUCUUGCACUUGCUUGUUGACAAAAAAAGACAAGCCCAUUGAUUUUCACCCCCUCUUUCUUGUAAAGCUUUCCUGCACUGCCAUGUUUUUGUUUUUCCUUCUUUCUUUUCUUUUCAAAGUUUUAAUACUUUCAAGGACUUUAAAAAUGAUCAUGUUUGGGCCAGGCGCAGUGACUCACUCCUGUAAUCCCAGCACUUUGGGAGGCCAAGGUGGGUGGAUCACUUGAGGUCAGGAGUUCCAGACGAGCCUGGCCAACAUGGUGAAACCCCAUCUGUACUAAAAAUACAAAAAUUAGCCAGGCGUGGUGGCGUGUGCCUGUAGUCCCAAGCUACUCAGGAGCCUGAGACAGGGGAAUCGCUUGAACCUGGGAGGCAGAGGUUGCAGUGAGCCGAGAUCGUGCCACUGCACUCCAGCCUGGGCCACAGAGCAAGACUCCAUCUCAAAAAAAAAAAAAAAAAAAAAAAAAAAAAAAAGA